GAGAGAGAGAGACCGCAGAGGGGGUUGAGAGCUCUUCCCUCCCUCAGGUCCCGCCAGCCAGCUGGAGCAUCUGCCCAUCCGGUUAGGGUGGUCUCUGGGGAUCGGUAGGUGGAGACAAGGCAGCUCUACAUCAUGCCGGCCCAGAGGACGUGUGCUGGGCGAGCUGUGUCCGUGAGAGAAUGCAGUGCUGGGGCCUUGUCUCCUGUAGCUCAUCAACUGCCCCAGGGUCAGGUGGGUGGGGUGCCCGAAGCUGUCCAAGCACCAGCCGAGCAUCUGUGUUGCUUGCUGGGGAGACAACUUGUCACAGUUUCCUUCAACUGUGAGUCACCCCUGCACCUCCAAGAAGCAGCUCUGGAAGCCCGUUGAGGAAACACACAGCAGCCAUGGUGCCAUGGAAUGAGUCCUGGACUUGGGUUCGGACCAAUGAGCCCAAAUCUCAGCUCUG
Molecule: long non-coding RNA, 445 nt
Filed under: Equus asinus (donkey)
Lineage: Eukaryota; Metazoa; Chordata; Mammalia; Perissodactyla; Equidae
Description: lncRNA (ENSEASG00005026120.1)
Source: RNAcentral